UUUCCAUAGUACUGAAAAAAAUAAUACAAUCUUAAAGGAACUAGAAACUUUGACUCAAUUCAUUUUCAGACCAAAAAGAUUUGUUUUUUUUUUUGGGACAGUGAUUCAAUACAGCUAUCUUUUCUUAUUUGGGUUGUUUUGUUUUACUACAUUCUUGAAAACAGAAAGAAGUUUUUUUUUUUUCCAAGAACUUGAUACUUGCCAAGAAUGGUUGAUUGUUUAGAUGAUUCAAACAUCACGGAAGCAAGAGAGGAGCUAAUGGUUUCACUUGUUGAUGAUGAAGUAAAACCCAUUUUUAGAAUUGCCCAUUUUCUUAAACCAACAAUACCCUCUACUAAAAAACUCCCUUUUCUCCCUUCAAGAUCCAAAAUUUCUUCUUCUUCUUCUUCACUAAAGGUAAAGUUUAGGGGUGGUUCUUCAUACAUGAAGGAAUGGUCUAAUUGGGUAAGGGAGUUAAAGCCUUUACACCAAGAGUUAUGGAAGAAAGCUGGAGUCUUUGAAGCUAUUAUAGCUUCAACAUUCAAGAUUUAUAGGCACAAUGAUUUGAUUUUUGCUUUAGCUGAGAGAUGGUGUAUUGAGACUACUACAUUCAUUUUUCCAUGGGGAGAAGGGACUGUUUCUUUGGAGGAUAUAGUAGUUUUGGGUGGUUUUUCUGUUUUGGGACAAUGUGUGUCGGAACCUGUCAAGACCAAUGAUUCUGUUGAAGUUGAAAAAAAUCUUUGUGAUGCUUACAAAGUUGUUCAGGCGCGUGAUAAGAAUGUAGCUUACCAUCCCUGGAUGGAACAUUUUGCAGGAGGAGGUGACAAUUUGGAGCAUGUUGCGUUUUUGACCCUUUGGUUGUCAAGGUAUGUGCUUCCUUCUAGAAGUUAUCAGUGUGUUGAAAGAGCUCUUUUCUCUAUUGCAAUUUGUCUGUCUCAAGGAGUUCCAAUAGAACUUGCCCCUACUGUUCUUGCUAGCAUUUAUAGGGAUCUCAACUUGCUUAAACAGUUGAUUGUAGAUUCGUCUAAGAACGCUGAAAAAAGUAGUUAUUCUAGAUGUGUAGAAGAUGUUCGGAUCUUAUCCUUCGCGCUCCGCUUCAUUUUGUUCAGCUAUGGGCUUGGGAGAGAUUUACCAGUUUGCAGCCUAAGCCUAGUACUGUCAUCGACUCCGGGGAGCCAAGGGUAGCUAGAUGGCAUAAGGUGAAAAAGCUAAAUUGUGUGGAUCCUAGGAGCAAAAUAGAUUCUGCAGCAGAACAUUUUCUGUGGCGUCCUUAUGCUGUUGAUAUUGUGAAGAAUUGGGACAUCAACAAAUUUUACAAGGACAGAGAUGAAUAUGUGGUGGUUGGACAAAACAUGGGAAGUGAAAUCUUGAUUUUGGCUCGACUUGUUCGAGCUUCUGAACUAGUUGGAAUGGAUUGUGUUGAACAGUACAAUCCACAUAGAGUGUCAAUGCAAUUCGGAUUUGAUCAAGAUGUGCCCGGUUGUGUGAAUCUUGCUAGUGAUCAUACCCCAAAAAUUGCUUGGACCAAUGCUCUAUAUACCUUCUAGGUUCAUUGAGCCAGAUGUCAGCAGACGAUACUUGGAGUGGUGGAAGGACCAAAAUGUUGCACCUGAGGAUGCAGUUCACCAUGUAGUAAAGGGAAAGCUGUCUAGAACUCAUGAUAAGAUGAACGCCUUUGUAUCCUGUGAAUUUUUGCAGAAUGGUGAUAAGGUUAGAGAAGAUGGUAAGAGACCAGAUUGUGAAACGAGAGUUGUAGAAUCAUCAUCAGAUGAUGACAAUAUACCGAUUUCGGAAUCUUUAUGCAGGAGGAAGCUCAUGAAGAAAGAAAUUACUAUACCUAGCAACCAAAGCCAAGCUUCUUCGACCUCUAAUGUUGCAACUGCCAGAAAAUGGGAGACUCUAACGGAAUCAAAUCCAAUAAGCGAAAACAUUGAGGGUUCAAAUGGAAAGUCAGAUGAAGAUGGAGAUGGGCCAUAUGUAGUUAAGGAAAUGGUGCCUCCUAGUUCAACAGAAAAGCAUACUGACUGUGAAAAUGAUAGAAAUGAGAGUAACAGUAACACAACCCACAAUCUUGUUAUCGUCGAGCAGAAAGGAGACGGAAGAACCAGAUGUGAUGAUCUUAUAAUGGAUAUAGAACUUCGUCUUAGCAGGCUUGAGAGACUAGCUGCUUCACGCAGGAGAUGCUAGACUAAACAUAAGAAGUUGUAACCGAACAUAAUUUCAAAUUCAGACCAGAAAACCGAUGAAAAGCAACAUACCCUACAUUGUGCUUGGACUUUUGUACGCAUAUCUAAUAUACCUCUCUUGGAUACCAGAUACAAUUCGGCUCAUGUUUGCUGGUAAAUACUGGCUUCAUAGGUCUGUGCAUAGCAACAUGAUAAUUUGUACAAAUUGCAUGGUCGGGAUCUUAACAAUUUCUUCCAUUCUGCAGCCUGGUAUAGCUAAGAUGUUCCCAACGAGGUGAUGUUAGCUUCUGCAUGAAUUCAUCUGUUGGCCAUGGAUCUUUUUGCUGCAAUGUCAAUCUCUAGACGUCUAUCUUUGUUGGGCUAUUUUUCUUUGCUUUUUUGUUUGGACAACAUUGAGGAGUGAGGAGGAUACCAUUGUUACACAUCUAACUUGAGUAUUUCACUUGAAACAGGCAGGUUUAUCAUGACGUAUUGGAGAAUGAUAUCGAGACCCGCCAUUCUGUGUCUCUGUGCUUGCUGUUUUGCCCUGUUGGGAUUCUUACUCACUCCAUCGCCAAAGCUCUAACUAGUAGCCCAGAAAAAAGAGAGUGUAGGACUCAUUAACCGAUGGUUUAGGCCUUUUUAUGUUAUCCGUAAACGAUCAGCCAGUGUGUGUAUAGUAAUUAACCUUCAGGUUAUGGAAUUGCUGUUACAGUCUACAUAUCUGAUGCAAAAUCGCAUUCAUGCAAAUUUUUUUUUA
RNA transcript from Capsicum annuum, 2904 nucleotides. RefSeq lists it as uncharacterized. The transcript has 2 exons. The record is from RefSeq and is a predicted model, not a curated record. Lineage: Eukaryota; Viridiplantae; Streptophyta; Magnoliopsida; Solanales; Solanaceae.